GAUGCACCUGCUUUGGGGAGGUGGCUGGCGAGAAAGAGAGCGAAUGUGGGCCCCGCCCCGUGAGGCAAAGCUCACUUCCUGAUGGAGGAUGGGGCUGUGUGGCCUGAUUCUCUGUGGAGCUCCUGAGUCGAUGCCUCCCACCCAAAAAAUCACAGGUUAAAAGACUGACUCGAAGUGUGGCACAGAAGCUUUCUCUCACUGAAGAACAGUCUCUGACUAGCUGCGCCACUCCAAUACUUCCAGUAACCCAGGUCUCUAAACAUGCAGACUCUGGUAUCCCUGGAUAUAUAGAAAAAUGCCCUAAGACAAAGACAAGAAAACAGUACUCACAAUACAUCUUACCCAGACUCACAAUGAAAUGAAAGUAUCAAGAACAUUUUGGUUUGAAAGGGAUAAGGCAGGAGAAAAGAGAACAAAGGAAGGCCUGGAAGUGAAGGGGUGGCCAAGUUGAAUCUGCUUUUUAUAUGAUUGAAUAAAUUCAGAAUAUUCAAGUGA
Sus scrofa (pig) is the source of this 495-nucleotide non-coding RNA. NCBI's taxonomy places the organism in Eukaryota, Metazoa, Chordata, Mammalia, Artiodactyla, Suidae. The record is from RefSeq and is a predicted model, not a curated record.